GGGAAUUGGUUCUUUGCAUAUGAGUUUCCUUCAGUCUCUGGAGGUUGCUCUGAAUUAGUUAGAAUCUCUCUAGUGUUUUUCCACUGAUUUUUUUAUAGAAUUUAUAACCUGAUUUUCAUGGCUUUGUGGGCUCAAAUGAGAGAGGUCCAAGUCCAAGAUUUUUCUCUUAUAUUUUAUUUAUUUAUUUAUUUAUUUACUUAUUUAUUUAUUUAUUUAUCUUUUUUUUUUUCGAAACGCGUGGGCUUCGC
This 248-nucleotide long non-coding RNA is filed under the name Lathyrus oleraceus (garden pea). RNAcentral describes it as "Pisum sativum (pea) long non-coding RNA (PSAT_LNC007197)". The record is from RNAcentral. Lineage: Eukaryota; Viridiplantae; Streptophyta; Magnoliopsida; Fabales; Fabaceae.